RNAcentral lists this ribosomal RNA (400 nucleotides) under Pardosa sierra. Its description in RNAcentral is "partial 16S ribosomal RNA". Lineage: Eukaryota; Metazoa; Arthropoda; Arachnida; Araneae; Lycosidae. The record is from RNAcentral.
AAAUAGCCGCUUUUGUGCUAAGGUAGCAUAAUAAUUUGUCUUUUAAUUAAAGACUAGAACAAAAGGUUUAACAUCUCAAUUAAUAUUUCAUAAAAAACUAUUUAAAUUAUUUUAAUUGUAAAAAAACAAUUUUAAAAAAGAAAGACGAUAAGACCCUAUCGAACUUUACUUCAGUUUAACUGGGGCAGUUAAUUAAUUAUUAUUUUAAUAAAAUUAAACAUUUAAUUUGACCUAAUAUUAUUAAUAAAAUAAUUAAGUUACCGUAGGGAUAACAGCGUAAUAAAAUUUUUAAGACCUUAUUUAAAAUAAAGAUUACGACCUCGAUGUUGAUUUAAUAUCCUAAUUUACGCAAUAGUUAAUUAAGGAAGUCUGUUCGACUUUUAAAAAAUUACAUGAUCUG